ACGAACGCUGGCGGCGUGCUUCACACCUGCAAGUCGAACGGAAAGGCCCUGCUUUUGUGGGGUGCUCGCGUGGCGAACGGGUGAGUAACACGUGAGUAACCUGCCCUUGACUUUGGGAUAACUUCAGGAAACUGGGGCUAAUACCGGAUAGGAGCUCCUGCUGCAUGGUGGGGGUUGGAAAGUUUCGGCGGUUGGGGAUGGACUCGCGUCUUAUCAGCUUGUUGGUGGGGUAGUGGCUUACCAAGGCUUUGACGGGUAGCCGGCCUGAGAGGGGGACCGGCCACAUUGGGACUGAGAUACGGCCCAGACUCCUACGGGAGGCAGCAGUGGGGAAUAUUGCACAAUGGGCGGAAGCCUGAUGCAGCAACGCCGCGUGCGGGAUGACGGCCUUCGGGUUGUAAACCGCUUUCGCCUGUGACGAAGCGUGAGUGACGGUAAUGGGUAAAGAAGCACCGGCUAACUACGUG
RNAcentral lists this ribosomal RNA (467 nucleotides) under uncultured bacterium. Its description in RNAcentral is "partial 16S ribosomal RNA". It matches the Rfam family "Bacterial small subunit ribosomal RNA", at positions 29 to 507 of the family's 1533-position model. The record is from RNAcentral.